RNAcentral lists this ribosomal RNA (253 nucleotides) under uncultured bacterium. Its description in RNAcentral is "partial 16S ribosomal RNA". It matches the Rfam family "Bacterial small subunit ribosomal RNA", at positions 524 to 776 of the family's 1533-position model. The record is from RNAcentral.
UACGUAGGGGGCAAGCGUUGUCCGGAUUUAUUGGGCGUAAAGAGCGUGUAGGCGGCCAUACAGGUCCGUUGUGAAAACUCGAGGCUCAACCUCGAGACGUCGAUGGAAACCGUAUGGCUAGAGUCCGGAAGAGGAGAGUGGAAUUCCUGGUGUAGCGGUGAAAUGCGCAGAUAUCAAGUGGAACACCAGUGGCGAAGGCGAGUCCCUGGAAAACUCCUGACACUGAGGCACGAAAGCUAGGGGAGCAAACAGG